AAUCCAUAGGUUAAUGAGGCGAACCGGGGGAACUGAAACAUCUAAGUACCCCGAGGAAAAGAAAUCAACCGAGAUUCCCCCAGUAGCGGCGAGCGAACGGGGAGGAGCCCAGAGCCUGAAUCAGCAUGUGUGUUAGUGGAAGCGUCUGGAAAGGCGCGCGAUACAGGGUGACAGCCCCGUACACAAAAGCGCAUGUGCUGUGAGCUCGAUGAGUAGGGCGGGACACGUGGUAUCCUGUCUGAAUAUGGGGGGACCAUCCUCCAAGGCUAAAUACUCCUGACUGACCGAUAGUGAACCAGUACCGUGAGGGAAAGGCGAAAAGAACCCCGGCGAGGGGAGUGAAAAAGAACCUGAAACCGUGUACGUACAAGCAGUGGGAGCCCCACCACUAAGCCAGUGGUGAACUCCACAUACGCAUCCUUUGCUGAGGAUACGGUUAACGGAGCGAAAGCGACGUUCAACCUCAAAAGAAGCAGAGG
RNAcentral lists this ribosomal RNA (479 nucleotides) under Salmonella enterica. RNAcentral describes it as "partial 23S ribosomal RNA". It matches the Rfam family "Bacterial large subunit ribosomal RNA", at positions 161 to 665 of the family's 2925-position model. The record is from RNAcentral. RNAcentral also lists the same sequence under 2 other names. Lineage: Bacteria; Pseudomonadati; Pseudomonadota; Gammaproteobacteria; Enterobacterales; Enterobacteriaceae.